Molecule: ribosomal RNA, 2916 nt
Filed under: Campylobacter jejuni
Lineage: Bacteria; Pseudomonadati; Campylobacterota; Epsilonproteobacteria; Campylobacterales; Campylobacteraceae
Description: partial 23S ribosomal RNA
Rfam family: Bacterial large subunit ribosomal RNA
Source: RNAcentral
CCUAUAUAGGAGCGAACGAGGGGAAUUGAAACAUCUUAGUACCCUCAGGAAAAGAAAUCAAUAGAGAUUGCGUCAGUAGCGGCGAGCGAAAGCGCAAGAGGGCAAACCCAGUGCUUGCACUGGGGGUUGUAGGACUGCAAUGUGCAAGAGCUGAGUUUAGCAGAACAUUCUGGAAAGUAUAGCCAUAGAGGGUGAUAGUCCCGUAUGCGAAAAACAAAGCUUAGCUAGCAGUAUCCUGAGUAGGGCGGGACACGAGGAAUCCUGUCUGAAUCCGGGUCGACCACGAUCCAACCCUAAAUACUAAUACCAGAUCGAUAGUGCACAAGUACCGUGAGGGAAAGGUGAAAAGAACUGAGGUGAUCAGAGUGAAAUAGAACCUGAAACCAUUUGCUUACAAUCAUUCAGAGCACUAUGUAGCAAUACAGUGUGAUGGACUGCCUUUUGCAUAAUGAGCCUGCGAGUUGUGGUGUCUGGCAAGGUUAAGCAAACGCGAAGCCGUAGCGAAAGCGAGUCUGAAUAGGGCGCUUAGUCAGAUGCUGCAGACCCGAAACGAAGUGAUCUAUCCAUGAGCAAGUUGAAGCUAGUGUAAGAACUAGUGGAGGACUGAACCCAUAGGCGUUGAAAAGCCCCGGGAUGACUUGUGGAUAGGGGUGAAAGGCCAAUCAAACUUCGUGAUAGCUGGUUCUCUCCGAAAUAUAUUUAGGUAUAGCGUUGUGUCGUAAUAUAAGGGGGUAGAGCACUGAAUGGGCUAGGGCAUACACCAAUGUACCAAACCCUAUCAAACUCCGAAUACCUUAUAUGUAAUCACAGCAGUCAGGCGGCGAGUGAUAAAAUCCGUCGUCAAGAGGGAAACAACCCAGACUACCAGCUAAGGUCCCUAAAUCUUACUUAAGUGGAAAACGAUGUGAAGUUACUUAAACAACCAGGAGGUUGGCUUAGAAGCAGCCAUCCUUUAAAGAAAGCGUAAUAGCUCACUGGUCUAGUGAUUUUGCGCGGAAAAUAUAACGGGGCUAAAGUAAGUACCGAAGCUGUAGACUUGCACACAACUUAGAUUAUUUAAGUUUAGAAUAUGAGAAACUAAGUUAUAUGUUUAGUUAUAUUUUUACUGAUUUUUAUAGAGUAAAGAUAGAAAUAAAACUUAGUAAAAUCAGUAAAAAUAUUCUUAGGCUAAAGUUAAGUAGUUUAAGUUGUGUGCAAGUGGUAGGAGAGCGUUCUAUUUGCGUCGAAGGUAUACCGGUAAGGAGUGCUGGAGCGAAUAGAAGUGAGCAUGCAGGCAUGAGUAGCGAUAAUUAAUGUGAGAAUCAUUAACGCCGUAAACCCAAGGUUUCCUACGCGAUGCUCGUCAUCGUAGGGUUAGUCGGGUCCUAAGUCGAGUCCGAAAGGGGUAGACGAUGGCAAAUUGGUUAAUAUUCCAAUACCAACAUUAGUGUGCGAUGGAAGGACGCUUAGGGCUAAGGGGGCUAGCGGAUGGAAGUGCUAGUCUAAGGUUGUAGGAGGUUAUACAGGCAAAUCCGUAUAACAAUACUCCGAGAACUGAAAGGCUUUUUGAAGUCUUCGGAUGGAUAGAAGAACCCCUGAUGCCGUCGAGCCAAGAAAAGUUUCUAAGUUUAGCUAAUGUUGCCCGUACCGUAAACCGACACAGGUGGGUGGGAUGAGUAUUCUAAGGCGCGUGGAAGAACUCUCUUUAAGGAACUCUGCAAAAUAGCACCGUAUCUUCGGUAUAAGGUGUGGUUAGCUUCGUACUAGGAUUUACUCCGAAAGCGAAGAAACUUACAACAAAGAGUCCCUCCCGACUGUUUACCAAAAACACAGCACUCUGCUAACUCGUAAGAGGAUGUAUAGGGUGUGACGCCUGCCCGGUGCUCGAAGGUUAAUUGAUGGGGUUAGCAUUAGCGAAGCUCUUGAUCGAAGCCCGAGUAAACGGCGGCCGUAACUAUAACGGUCCUAAGGUAGCGAAAUUCCUUGUCGGUUAAAUACCGACCUGCAUGAAUGGCGUAACGAGAUGGGAGCUGUCUCAAAGAGGGAUCCAGUGAAAUUGUAGUGGAGGUGAAAAUUCCUCCUACCCGCGGCAAGACGGAAAGACCCCGUGGACCUUUACUACAGCUUGACACUGCUACUUGGAUAAGAAUGUGCAGGAUAGGUGGGAGGCUUUGAGUAUAUGACGCCAGUUGUAUAUGAGCCAUUGUUGAGAUACCACUCUUUCUUAUUUGGGUAGCUAACCAGCUUGAGUUAUCCUCAAGUGGGACAAUGUCUGGUGGGUAGUUUGACUGGGGCGGUCGCCUCCCAAAUAAUAACGGAGGCUUACAAAGGUUGGCUCAGAACGGUUGGAAAUCGUUCGUAGAGUAUAAAGGUAUAAGCCAGCUUAACUGCAAGACAUACAAGUCAAGCAGAGACGAAAGUCGGUCUUAGUGAUCCGGUGGUUCUGUGUGGAAGGGCCAUCGCUCAAAGGAUAAAAGGUACCCCGGGGAUAACAGGCUGAUCUCCCCCAAGAGCUCACAUCGACGGGGAGGUUUGGCACCUCGAUGUCGGCUCAUCGCAUCCUGGGGCUGGAGCAGGUCCCAAGGGUAUGGCUGUUCGCCAUUUAAAGCGGUACGCGAGCUGGGUUCAGAACGUCGUGAGACAGUUCGGUCCCUAUCUGCCGUGGGCGUAAGAAGAUUGAAGAGAUUUGACCCUAGUACGAGAGGACCGGGUUGAACAAACCACUGGUGUAGCUGUUGUUCUGCCAAGAGCAUCGCAGCGUAGCUAAGUUUGGAAAGGAUAAACGCUGAAAGCAUCUAAGCGUGAAGCCAACUCUAAGAUGAAUCUUCUCUAAGCUCUCUAGAAGACUACUAGUUUGAUAGGCUGGGUGUGUAAUGGAUGAAAGUCCUUUAGCUGACCAGUACUAAUAGAGCGUUUGGCUUAUCUUUAAUAAAGCAU